RNAcentral lists this ribosomal RNA (253 nucleotides) under uncultured bacterium. RNAcentral describes it as "partial 16S ribosomal RNA". It matches the Rfam family "Bacterial small subunit ribosomal RNA", at positions 524 to 776 of the family's 1533-position model. The record is from RNAcentral.
UACGUAGGGUGCGAGCGGUAAUCGGAAUUACUGGGCGUAAAGCGUGCGCAGGCGGCCUUAUAAGACAGAUGUGAAAUCCCCGGGCUUAACCUGGGAACUGCGUUUGUGACUGUAAAGCUAGAGUGUGGCAGAGGGGGGUGGAAUUCCACGUGUAGCAGUGAAAUGCGUAGAGAUGUGGAGGAACAUCGAUGGCGAAGGCAGCCCCCUGGGUCAACACUGACGCUCAUGCACGAAAGCGUGGGGAGCAAACAGG